RNAcentral lists this ribosomal RNA (207 nucleotides) under uncultured bacterium. Its description in RNAcentral is "partial 16S ribosomal RNA". It matches the Rfam family "Bacterial small subunit ribosomal RNA", at positions 568 to 774 of the family's 1533-position model. The record is from RNAcentral.
CACGUAGGCGGGCUUGUAAGUAGGGGGUGAAAUCCCAGGGCUCAACCCUGGAAUUGCCUUCUAGACUGCGAGUCUGGAGGUCAGGAGAGGCGAGUGGAAUACCGAGUGUAGAGGUGAAAUUCGUAGAUAUUCGGUGGAACACCAGUGGCGAAGGCGACUCGCUGGACUGAUACUGACGCUGAGGUGCGAAAGCGUGGGGAGCAAACA